AUACGGAGGGUGCAAGCGUUGUUCGGAAUCACUGGGCGUAAAGGGCGCGCAGGCGGUUUGGUAAGUCAGAUGUGAAAGCCCACGGCUCAACCGUGGAAGUGCAUUUGAAACUGCCAGACUUGAGUACCAGAGGGGAAAGUGGAAUUCCCGGUGUAGAGGUGAAAUUCGUAGAUAUCGGGAGGAAUACCGGUGGCGAAGGCGACUUUCUGGCUGGAUACUGACGCUGAGGCGCGAAAGCGUGGGGAGCAAACAGAAUUAGAAACCCCGGUAGUCC
Molecule: ribosomal RNA, 274 nt
Filed under: uncultured bacterium
Lineage: Bacteria
Description: partial 16S ribosomal RNA
Rfam family: Bacterial small subunit ribosomal RNA
Source: RNAcentral